RNAcentral lists this ribosomal RNA (406 nucleotides) under uncultured bacterium. Its description in RNAcentral is "partial 16S ribosomal RNA". It matches the Rfam family "Bacterial small subunit ribosomal RNA", at positions 30 to 526 of the family's 1533-position model. The record is from RNAcentral.
AUUGAACGCUGGCGGCAGGCCUAACACAUGCAAGUCGAACGCGUGGCGGACGGGUGAGUAAUGUCUGGGAAACUGCCUGAUGGAGGGGGAUAUCUACUGGAAACGGUAGCUAAUACCGCAUACCCUCAGAUGUGCCCAGAUGGGAUUAGCUUGUAGGUGGGGUAAUGGCUCACCGAGGCGACGAUCCCUAGCUGGUCUGAGAGGAUGACCAGCCACACUGGCACUGAGACACGGUCCAGACUCCUACGGGAGGCAGCAGUGGGGAAUAUUGCACAAUGGGCGCAAACCUGAUGCAGCCAUGCCGCGUGUAUGAAGAAGGCCUUCGGGUUGUAAAGUACUUUCAGCGGGGAGGCGUUACCCGCAGAAGAAGCACAGGCUAACUCCGUGCCAGCAGCCGCGGUAAUUC